UGGUUGAUCCCGCCAGUAGUCAUAUGCUUGUCUUAAAGAUUAAGCCAUGCAUGUCUAAGUAUAAGCUUUUAUAUGGUGAAACUGCGAAUGGCUCAUUAAAACAGUUAUAGUUUAUUUGAUGUUUGUUUCUACAUGGAUAACCGUGCUAAUUGUAGGGCUAAUACAUGCUCGGGCUGUUUACAGUUGCGUUUAUUAGACCUAAAACCUCCCCGCUUUUGCGGUGUUUCGGUGAUUCAUAAUAAAUUAGCGAAUCGCAUGGCUUUGCCGGCGAUGUAUCAUUCAAGUUUCUGACCUAUCAGCUUUGGACGGUAGGGUAUUGGCCUACCGGGGCAACGACGGGUAACGGGGAAUUAGGGUUCGAUUCCGGAGAGGGAGCCUGAGAAACGGCUACCACAUCUAAGGAAG
This 405-nucleotide ribosomal RNA is filed under the name Theileria equi. RNAcentral's name for it is "SSU rRNA". It matches the Rfam family "Eukaryotic small subunit ribosomal RNA", at positions 5 to 424 of the family's 1831-position model. Lineage: Eukaryota; Apicomplexa; Aconoidasida; Piroplasmida; Theileriidae. The record is from RNAcentral.